UUCUGGCUCAGAACGAACGCUGCGGGCAGGCUUAACACAUGCAAGUCGAACGGGCGUAGCAAUACGUCAGUGGCAGACGGGUGAGUAACGCGUGGGAACGUGCCCUUCGGUUCGGAAUAACUCAGGGAAACUUGAGCUAAUACCGGAUACGUGCGAGAGCAGAAAGAUUUAUCGCCGAAGGAUCGGCCCGCGUCCGAUUAGCUAGUUGGUGAGGUAACGGCUCACCAAGGCGACGAUCGGUAGCUGGUCUGAGAGGAUGAUCAGCCACAUUGGGACUGAGACACGGCCCAAACUCCUACGGGAGGCAGCAGUGGGGAAUAUUGGACAAUGGGCGCAAGCCUGAUCCAGCCAUGCCGCGUGAGUGAUGAAGGCCCUAGGGUUGUAAAGCUCUUUCGCCAGGGACGAUAAUGACGGUACCUGGAUAAGAAGCCCCGGCUAACUUCGUGCCAGCAGCCGCGGUAAUACGAAGGGGGCUAGCGUUGUUCGGAAUCACUGGGCGUAAAGCGCACGUAGGCGGAUCUUUAAGUCAGGGGUGAAAUCCCGAGGCUCAACCUCGGAACUGCCUUUGAUACUGGAGGUCUCGAGUCCGGGAGAGGUGAGUGGAACUGCGAGUGUAGAGGUGAAAUUCGUAGAUAUUCGCAAGAACACCAGUGGCGAAGGCGGCUCACUGGCCCGGUACUGACGCUGAGGUGCGAAAGCGUAGGGAGCAAACAGGAUUAGAUACCCUGGUAGUCCACGCCGUAAACGAUGGAUGCUAGCCGUUGGGCAGCUUGCUGUUCAGUGGCGCAGCUAACGCUUUAAGCAUCCCGCCUGGGGAGUACGGUCGCAAGAUUAAAACUCAAAU
RNAcentral lists this ribosomal RNA (844 nucleotides) under uncultured bacterium. RNAcentral's name for it is "bacterial SSU rRNA". It matches the Rfam family "Bacterial small subunit ribosomal RNA", at positions 17 to 906 of the family's 1533-position model. The record is from RNAcentral.